This is a non-coding RNA of Peromyscus maniculatus bairdii (prairie deer mouse), 739 nucleotides long. Lineage: Eukaryota; Metazoa; Chordata; Mammalia; Rodentia; Cricetidae. The record is from RefSeq and is a predicted model, not a curated record.
AUCCUGGUUUGCUUUCUACUGCUAGGAUAAACAUCAUGACCUAAAGCCACUUAGAGGGAAAAGGUUUAUUUAACCAACUCUUCCAGGAUAUUCAUAAGCAGAUUCUCUUUGGGGAAUAACCCAGAUGUUGUUUCCAUCUUAUUCCUGUUUCCACAUCUCAGCCUUGGUACUCUGCCAAUAUGUGCCUGCCAGUCUUGGCUGAGGACUCUGCACCUCAACCUGCUCAAAGGUGGCUGUUGGUCAUGGUGUUUAUAACGGCAACAGGCAGGAAACUGGAACAACUCCUCCACCAGAGGAAAGAGCAAGCACUAGAUGUUUGCCCUCUCCUGUCAUGGAACACCUCUGCAGAGAAGGAACACAGGUGCCACAGGGACUCAACCGUCUGCGCUAUCACAGCCACUGUCCUGAGCAAAUAAACUGAACUAAGAAAGUGAGUGAAAGUUGCAGAACAUUUCGGAAUACUUCACACCUGAGAAGACAAUGACAUGGAAAAAAUUAAACCUAAAGAAGAAGAAGUAAACAGUGGAUAAGCAAAGCCUUUAACCAUUCACUUCCCGUCUCUCAUCAAUUCCACUUGGUCUGUCUACUUUAGUCAAAGACAACUGAUUUGAAAUCCCAUCCUUUGUUUGUUCAGUGCAAAGCAUGGCAGACUAAUACAAAGAAGACUCAGCUUCACUUGGAAUCUAGAGAACAUUGCACCAACUUGAGGGGAAGCUGACAGGUGACGAAUUAUUCUGAA